CCCUUUGAACCGGGCGUGGGAUUGGCCGUCGCCUGCCCACCCCGCGGCUGCAGCGUUCCCUGGGGCCUAGCCAACCGCGGGCAGGGCUGGGCAAGGCGGGAGGAGCGCGGACCCAAGAUCGGCUACGCUGCGUCUGCUCAGGCUGCGAGUUCCCGGCUCUGGGGACUCACCUUGCGGAGCUUACCCAGGCGGACUCUCCGCAGCCCCUGAUGGGUGUGUGUGUCAGACCGUUUACUAAACACCAGGACUGUUGUAGGCGACUGUGAGGAGAACAGCCCAGUGAGGCUGAGGCCACACAAUUAACCCCAGUCUUUGCACUACAACUCUACCAGGGAUCCUGGUUUGGCUCAUUUUCUUUCUUCUGCACCAUGAUUGUUCACCUUUUCAUUACCAGCAACAUACCCAAAGACCUAGCUAUAGACUCGUUGGAAUCUGUUACUUAGCAGCUGUGUGAAUCAAGUGUUCAAUAGGAAUAAUAAGAUGUAUUCAUCUUACCUUUUCAGAACAUUAUGAAGAACAAAUGUGGUAAGACAUAUGAAAAUGCUUUGUAAAGUGUUAGAUGCUUAAUACACAGAAGACAUUGCUUCCAGAUCUGUUUCAACGUACCCCAAGAAUGGAAUAAGUGGAAUAUGCUGGUUUCAUGCACUGUGGCAAGGGGGUCUCAUCUUGGCUAGACUUGAAUAAGUGGAUUUGUUGCCUGGCCUCUGUGGAUGGCUCUUUCUCUGGGCUUUUGUGUAUUUGAUUUUUUAUUUGCUCCAGCAGCCGUGUUGAACCAUGAAAGGACCUCAGGAAUGAAACCCACACACAGCAAAGCAACAAAGUGAAAGAAGCGUGGAUUCCUAAUGCAGGAGGCACUGAACCAAUCAAUACCCACUGCCCUCCAGACCUCCACAUGAAAGAAAAAAACUGCUGUCCUGUAUUCCUUUAAGCCUCUCUGAAACUUGACCCUCUGGCAGGAACAGGUGCCAUUACAUACAGACACUCUCUCUCUUCCAAAUUCACCCUGUCAUAUCAAAGGGAAAACUGAAGUGGUCCACUGUAGACCUGACAGAUGAUCACAAACAGGAAACCAGCAAUCAGAAGUGCCUACUGAGCUCCCUACCCUGACCAUCACCUACAGCUACAUUUUACAGAUACAAAAUCAUUGUUUGUUCAACUUUCAUAUCAAAGGAUGCUAUUAGUUCAUUUCCAAAGGUGGGAAAAUGUUUCAACUUACUUUAUUACUUGUCUGCUACUUACUAUUUUCCCUCCGUUUGCCUGCCUGACUUCUUUUAACUCUUCACUCAACAAAUAUCUACUGACUACUGAGCACUUGCCAAGUGCUAGGCCAGAGCUGGAUGCUGUACUACGGGCAGAUGAAGUGCUAUGGGCAUCCAGAGGUGGAAGAAGAGGGUAUAGCGAAAGGGGAGAAAAGGCUGCAACAAUAUUCACUGAGCCCUGUGCUCCCAGGUCAUCACAUAGACUAUGUCAUUAUUCCUCCUAACCACCCACAUGAGUAAAUAGGGGCUAUUACUGAAGAAACAGAGGCUUACAAAGGUUGAGCAACUUGCCCAAGGUCAUCUAUCACAAGACACUACAAGUCAGACUGCUGAAGAGGGAGUUUCUGCUGAGAAGCUGAAGUGGGCAGCUCAUAUUGGAUAUGAAGGCUUCAAAGGAAUCUAAAUCCUAAUGAUCCCUCUAGAGCCAACAUGCAGCACCAGUUUUCUCUUCCACAUUUGAACUGCUCAUCCACUUCCGGCUCCAAGACCUCACUCUCCAUCUAAACUAGUCCCACGCCAUCCAUAUCUUUCUCCACUAACGCCACCCAAUCACAACCCCACAGCCUCUUAGUCAUGAGUCAUUUUUUAAAAACUGCAAACCAUGUAAUGAGCCAUGGCAAUAUGCAACCCUAAACCUCAACACGUGUUUUCCACAACAAGGCCACAGGUGGCAGAAGCGAGCCUAAGGCCGUAGGACACUAAGGCAGGACUCUCUGGCUUGAGCUUUCCAAAAAGGGAGGUGAGAGAAGGUCUACCUGCGGGAAGUCAUGCUGAAGGCCUGAGGCUGAGUCAAAGAAGGAGCCCCCUGGAGGCUCUGCAGUUCCUGGACUUCAGGUAGAGGAACUCUGCCAUGAACACCUCUGGAAUCGUGUCAUUUUGGGACAAUUAGAGAAUAUCAGUUUUCAGACUGAGUUCUAUGGGAAGGUGCCUGCACAACAAAGGAGAGACGGAAUGGACUUCAGGUCUUCCAAAAUACCCCUCAUGUUCACCAAGUUGCUCUCUGCUCUAAGAUACCAGAUGAGGGGGCCAGUGGGGACUGAAACCCAGUCCCCAGUCUGCUGGCCAAUCCCUUUGCCUGUGAGGCUGCUCUGUCCUACCAGAGAGGGCACUUUUCAUAAUUUGCACCAAGUACAGAAUAGGAUAGUGUAGCUUUACCCUUCUCCCUACCAUCAACCACAGACACAUCAACACAUGCACACAUACAGCCACACAAAUAUACCUACAGGCAUACACAUACAACACAGGCACAUACAUGUUUGCACAAAGUCACAUGUAGACACAAACGCAGAGCACACAGACACAAACACAGGCACAAACCCAUACUUACACUACACACACACACAAACACACACAGACACACAAAUGCAAAUUAAGCCACAAUGUAGCACAUAGAGAUAUAGACACAGACGCAAAUACAGUCACAUAGAGAUAUAGACACACACUUAUACACACAUAUAUGUAAAUAUACAGUCUCAUUCACUUUAUACCACACAUGUAUAAACAUACACAAUUGUAUGUAGACACACAUACACAUAGGUACUCAGACCGCAUAGAUACAUAUGUACACACAUACAAAUAUAUGCACAUACACAGAUAUAUAUAUACACACAUGCAUCUUUAACCAGAACAACUUUACUUUUGUCAGUUUUAUAUGACAGAGUCUUUAAAAAAAGAUUUCAUCUGGCUUGUGUUCUACUAUUAAAAGA
RNAcentral lists this long non-coding RNA (2965 nucleotides) under Homo sapiens (human). Its description in RNAcentral is "HSALNT0007718". Lineage: Eukaryota; Metazoa; Chordata; Mammalia; Primates; Hominidae. The record is from RNAcentral.